GUUUAUUGGCUUGACCACAUAACAUACGUUGAAAUCCUUGAGUUGUCACAGAUAAACAGUAUCCAUGCCACAGCAGCAAUAACGUGGGAGGGUCAACAAAAAAUUACAAAGAUACCCUUAAGAGUUCUCUCAAGGUGUGUGAGGGAAACGAUCCUUUCUCAUUGCCUGAGGCCGUGAGUGUCGUGUUUCAUGAUAUAAGGCAAGGAGCUCGGUAAUCAACAAAAAACGUAGAUCUAAGAAUAAAAAAAAACGGAAAGUGAGAAAAGAAGCAAGCAUAUCUGCAGCAAACCCAAGUUACCAAUGCCGUCUAGGAGGUCGGCUUUUUUAAAGUAAAAAAUUGGACUCCAUAGCCAUCUUCAAAUUCAUAGAAAAUGGGAAAUAAUCUCAUCUUAAGUUACGAAGGAGGAGCUAUAUAUUUAAGCUAGCUGAUCUGCUCAUUAACUGAUUAGCUAUCGGUUACGUUAAUGUGCGAAAUCGACAUUUUGCCUCUAAAUAUAGGCAUAAUGUUCAUAUUAACGGUUUAAGUACUCUUAGGGUUAGGAUAGGGUUGCAAGCUCCUGCAAAUAACUAUAAAAUAAUAAUUCAAUUUAUUAAGCGCUGUUAACAAAGCACUAUAAACUCUUGCAGAGCUGACUUUUUGUGUCAAAACGCAAGAGUUAAGUCGAAGAUAACUACAACAUUAAGUAGUACCUGGACAAGUGGAUCCUGGUAGUUGGUGAUAAAUACAAAAUGUGUACUCUUCUAAUUCUGUUCUAAUGUUGCUGCUCGGCGGUCUGGAAGUUCAACAAGAAAACAGCGCCCACUUUCUCUUUCUACUGCGCCAAAUACCUAUAUUGUUCAUACCUCACAACCAGCAAAGACAUACCUGACUUACUAGGCGUCCCAUUUUUACCACUGGAGCAAUACACCACAGAUAUAUAUAUAUAUAUGGAGAGAGAGCAUAAAGGAAGGGUCACGGAUUGCAGAUGUCAUACACAACAGAAGCAGAAAGAAGGGUAAAAAUGCAACGGCGCCUGGUGAUUAUAUAUACCCAACCUGCGAUCGCAGCAGUGUAUCAAGGAUUGGCCUCUUUAGUCACACAAGAAGUUGCAAAGGUAAAAGAUCGUCUCUCCAGAUGUAAAAUGCCGCAGAAUAUAUAUAUAUAUGUUUACAGGAUUUGAUUUUGUGAUCCCUCUUCAGAAACAUCAGAUCAAAGGAAUGUACAUGCUGCUGAUAUAGAAAAAGUUUCUGACUGCUUACAGAUCAGUGUUCUUAGUUCUGCUAUUGAUUUACUAUUGCAUAAUAAAUAAACAUGUAAUGAUCAAUCACAUUUUUAUACCAAGUUCAUCUAAUGAUUUACACAGCAUAUUAUCAGCAUUCACAGUUCAUCUAAUGAUCUACAUAUGAAGCAGCACCAUGCAGAGCUAACAUCACCUACUGAAGAGAGUUUCCAUCAUGCUUUAGCAACAAUCCAAAAACAAAAUGAAAAAGUGGUUUCUUUGUUUGGGACAAGUCCUGAAAGGCCUUCAGAAUCUGGGAGCACACUAUUGUUAACAAGCAGUGUGUCAUAUGACCAGCACAAUGACCAACAGCCUUUACUUUUCGAACCAAAGUCAGGAUUGUCAGACUUCUGCUAGAUGUUGAUCUUUUCAUCACAACACCAAUAACUUCUUCUUGGAGUCAAGUAACAGUGUAUAUCACCUGAAAAAGCUAUUUAAAUUCCCUUAAAGAUCACAAAUUAAUGCUGAUGACAUAAAGCACAUUUAUCCACGAAAUCUUAUGAACACAUAAUAUUAUGUUGUACAACUAAAUAGUGGUGUCUGGAAAUUUAGGCAGUGUGUAUGUAGUGUAUAUGCUUAUUUAUUAUUUAUCUGUUUCUUAAACAUAGGCUUAUGUUCCCCGCGCUACCCAAACUAUAAUUCGGAGUGUGAAACAUAACAGAUUAACAGGUGCUAUAUUAUGUUUCGUUUAACAAAGAUUUUCUUACACUCUACAUAUUCCUCCCCCCCCCCCCGAGAGGUGGGCCAGGGGUAGUGGUAAGUAUUAUAAUCACGGACUGAGAAGACCUAACGGCGAGCGAGAAAGGGGUUACGUCGUCACUAGAUCUGUGUCAGCUCAAUACAAUUUUUUCUCUUCGUGGUGUAGUCUUAAUCAUAAACAGAUAAAAAUUAAAGUUUUAAGAUACUGUUAAUCUUCUAUAAUAAAAUGCUUAUUUCUUAUAGUAAUACGUUUCCCGUACUAGAUCUUUAUAAUUUAUUGUCAUUGCUCUAUAUAGUAUAGAUCACUUACUCACAAUGCAUACUUUUGUUGAAAAGAAAAAUAAUUAAACAUAUCGUGUAGAUAUAGAUGCGUGUUUCAUUAUGUUCGUGUAUAUUUUUGUUUUAUUUUAUCAAUAUUUCGCUUUGCUUGGUGACUUAAUAGAUAAAAUAUAAAUCUAAUUGUUAAUAUAUAUUUUGUUGUUGAUAAUUUCUUAAAUAGAAAAAAAGAAGAAAUAACAAGUUGUUCAUCAAAUGAUUAUUAACAUUUUAUUUAGACCUUCAUUUGAGUAAAUAAAAAAAACAUAGUUGAACGCAUAAGAACAAAACACUCUCUUUAAAACAUGUUAUUUGAAGUUCAAUAUAGAUAAAGGAGAUCAAUAUGCUUAAAAACAACAUGGUGGGCGGAAUAGAUCUAGUUAUCUGGGCGUCUGAACUUCUAAAUCUUGUAUAUCUAGUUCUAGAUCUAGAGCAGGGCUGAGCAAAUAACGACCCCCCUGGCCACAAGUGGCCCGCUGGAGUGUUUUAUGUUCUAAUAUUACUGUAAGAACUGGUCGAUGCUGACUGACAGUAAUUUAACAGCAGUCGCAAGGAUUACAACUAGUAAUAUAUCUAAAACAUUUUUAAUCUUUUAAUUUUCACAAUGAAAUCAUUUUCUUUUUACUCCAGCGCAAGAACACCAUCCAAUCCAAUCACUCGUUCAGCCUUUUUUUUUUUUUAUACAUUUGCGUCAUUCGCGAUUUCACUAGUUGGUCACGUGACAGGGCCCAGCUCUUGUCCCUAUCGGUUAUACAAAUGGGUCAAAUGAAAUUUUCUUUAAUUGUGAUUAAUUUAAUUUAGCCAUAGAAAGAAAUAAUGAUGUAGCGCUGUCUUUAAUCUAGAAUAAAUAAUCAAUGUAAUGUAGGUCGAUUGUAUUUAAUAUUUAAUAGAUCUAUAUCUCAUGUUUAUUGUGUAUUUCAAGUAAAUGUUGUUGUUUUUUUAACUUUUUUUUGUGACUUCACGAAAGGUAUUGUGUAUGUGUUUUUUUUGCUUUUUUUGUUUGUCUUUGACUGUUUACAAAACGUAUGGUAUUCUAUUUUGGCCAUAUUUCAUAAUGUGUAGCAAUUCAUCACUUUUAAUUUAAAUUUAUUCUAGUUUACUAGUUAAAUUUAUAUGAAGAGAUGCUCGUCCCUCCUCUUUUCGCAUUCCGGACUUGGGACCAGACAGUGGUGAAGUUGCCGACAUUGCAACUAACUAAUCCUAACUAUAGGCAACAUUUUUUUUUUUACUUUCAUCAUGUAGGCUUCUUUUACACUCAUAUCCGUCAUGUAGUCUUGUUCAACCCACCCACAUUUGCUUAUCUUCUUAAGAGUGGUCCAGAUGUUUAAUUAUGCCUUAUGGUUAACACUCUUUAGGGCCUUCCUCUGCCUAUAAAUCCCCCUUUUUUAUGUACUUGUUAAAGCUGGAUACUCUAGUUAACACCUAGUUGAAUGCUAGACAGAAUGGCAGCUAUAGAAGUAAUAAAAAUUUAUAUAAGGAGAGAUGGUUCAUUGAAAAGUCAUUGUCUUUUACACUCAUCUACGCGUUUGCAAAACAUUGGUAAAAAGAUUUUUAAAUGAGAAUAG
Biomphalaria glabrata is the source of this 3838-nucleotide long non-coding RNA. RefSeq lists it as uncharacterized. Lineage: Eukaryota; Metazoa; Mollusca; Gastropoda; Planorbidae. The record is from RefSeq and is a predicted model, not a curated record. The transcript is spliced from 4 exons.